This is a long non-coding RNA of Hyla sarda, 1141 nucleotides long. RefSeq lists it as uncharacterized. The transcript has 4 exons. The record is from RefSeq and is a predicted model, not a curated record. NCBI's taxonomy places the organism in Eukaryota, Metazoa, Chordata, Amphibia, Anura, Hylidae.
UACAACUCCCAGCAUGCCCGGACAGCCAUCGGCGCAUGAACGUCCCUGUGCGUCGUCAAAGCAACGUCACUAGUCCGGGGUCAGCUCCGGAGCGAGCGGAGAAAAGGGCCUCCUGGUGAAAAUGUACAGCCCGGAACGACUAACCCUCCCCACUGGACGGUCCCUGCAGCAUAGAUGGUCCGGACCAGCUCACCCUUCCUUCCCACCGAAGGGAGGGAGAAGUCAUUAUGAUGGUUUUGGCCGAAUGGGGAAAAAAAAGAAAAAGUGAGCUCCUCCGAAUAGACAUCACCUGUGACUGACUCAAAGAAGAUGCCCCCAAUAAAAUGAUAUACCCACAAUAGAAAUAACUUAAAAUUAAUUUCAAGUACACAAUACACACUACAGAAAAUCUCGGUGCGUCAUGGAUCUGCCAGCGAGAAAAUAUAAAACUGAGGAAGCUGCCCUAAUUUUUAAUUUUCGACCACCGUCUUCCAGCGCGACCUGUUUCCAAGUCCUGUCCAAACUUUUCACACGUUUGACCUAGAGUGAAAUGGAUGAAUCUGUUCUGGCUACACACUGUCGAGGCUUAAAAAGAAAAUACGGAGGGGAGAAGGAAAUAAGCAGAUGGCUAAAGAUGAAGGUCAAAUCAGAUUGAGAAGUUUGUCAAAAUGUGAUGACAUCGGUAAUCUGUAAACUGUUAUUGCACCUAGCUGGAGGUGCUGAAAAACAUUUUGAAAUUACAGAAAAAAACACUGAAGUCUUCAAGCACGCCGGCGAGGAAUGAUCGCCUGGAGUGGUUCUACUCUAUGGAUGAAUGCCAGAUGCGGGGAGCGACAUAUCUGGAAUUAAUGAUAUUAAACAUGCUUUUCUUUUAUGCUCAAUAAUAACUCUAUUAUGAUUGAUACAGACCGCAGACACUUUAUCUAGUACAAAUGGAAUCGUCUGUCAUUGACUAUAUUAAAUCAUCAAUUUCUGCAUGAUGAGGAUCGUUUAAGGUAACUAAUCAUCUGUCUCGUUCUGCCGUCUUUAAGGGUGAUCAGAUAACAUUUUGAAUACCGCCUGAGCAACCGUGACAAUCUAACCCUUCCUUGUAAGGAUUGAGAGGGGCCCAUUAUGCCGUCAAACCCUGUGAAAAUAUCACGGCUUUUUCUCUACAUAAUAU